GUGCUUGCUUUGGCAGCACAUAUACUAAAAUGGGAAUGAUACAGAGAAGAUUAGCAUGGCCCCUGCACUAGAAUGACACACAAAUUCCUGAAACAUUCUGUAUUAUA
This is a small nuclear RNA of Cercocebus atys (sooty mangabey), 107 nucleotides long. Lineage: Eukaryota; Metazoa; Chordata; Mammalia; Primates; Cercopithecidae. The record is from Ensembl.